GUGAUUUGGAUAUUUGUACACCGUUAAACUUGCAAACGGCUCACUACGGCCAUUGAAAUUUGUUGAUUUUGAGCCGAUUCGAUCACUAGGCAAAUGAUAUCGAAAAAUAAUAAAAUUUAUUUUCUAGGUACUCUAAAUACUCUAGAUCAAUUUAACGGAGCUGAUCGACGAUUCGAAAGUCGCAUACAUCGAAAACGAGCUGGAAGCACGGAAGGCUCGUACUUUCGAGAGCAUAGUAGCCUCACUUAUAUAUAUAUAUAUAUAAUAUAUAUAUAUAUAUAUAUAAUAAGAUUAUAUUAUUUAGGGGGUUAUUUGAGAGAAGUGGUAAAGUGCCGGGAGUGUUUUAUAAUUAAUUUUUUUUUUAUGAUAGAGAAAAUAUUCUGUCCAACUCUAUUUUAUUGUGAUACAUUAUUUAAAAACAGCACACAUGCCUCUUUUAUAUCUUAGAAAAAUGCUACUUAUUAACCUAUAAAUAGAUCUAAAUCUUACACCUUUCGCAUCCAUCCUAAGAUCGAUUCACAAAACUCAUUUUAGUUUUAGUAUAUAAAAAAAAUAGUUAAUAAGAUUGGUGGAGGAUGGCCAACCAAUGCUACACAAUCACGUAGACAACAUUUUCUACGUAACUCGGCUCAGCUCAACCUAAUCCUUUACCAGUAAGCAUGAUGCUCGCACGUCUCUUUUGGCUUCGCUUUCGAGUUUCGACACAUAAUGGCCUACUCAAAUGAAACGCCCCUUAGCAGUCAUAUAUAUAUCUCAUAGAGGAUGUUAGAGAAAUGCGGGUGGUGUUGGAUGUGGCCCACGUGAUUUAUUCAAAACGAUCUAUAAAGAUACAAUCGGUUUAUUCAAGUCGAUCUAUAAAGAUACGGUAGAUCGAACGGUUAGGGUGUAUUUCGAUACGUCCUUGAUGGACGGACGUGAUUUAACAUCCUUACAUUAAGUUGUAUAUAAAUAUAAUAUAUGGGAGUCACGGUCGGUCUAAUCCUAACUCAAUUUUCUGUGACGGCUUCAUCUUCGGGAAUAAGAGAAUUAGACUCGAAACGUUCCGUUUUCUUGCAGAUUGCGAACGAGAACGAACCACGAGCAAAAAUUACACCUACAAAUCGGGUACAAAAAUCGAAAUCAUGACAGAAGGUACGAUUUAGUUUCUAAUAAAGUUUCAACAGGCGGAGCUUCUUAGACUUAGAGAUAACAACUAGAGGAUAAGAGACCUUACUCUACUCUCUGCUACGUACGUGGUGGGCGCACUACUAGAAAAUUAGUCAUUAGCGGCAUUUAUUUUUGCUGCUAAAUGAUCAACAAAUGCUGCUAAAAGUUUUAGCAGCAUAUGACACCAAAUGCUGCAUAUGCCAAUGUUGCUAAAAGUAUUAGCAGCAUUAAUUAUAAAUGCCGCCAAUAUAAAUCAAUUAGUGUCAUUAGGAAUAUGCCGCUAAAAGAGAUUAAAUACAAGUUUUAAAUUGUUUAUUAGCGGCACAUAAAUAAUAUGCCGUUAAUACAAAUAUCUGAUUUUAGACAUUAAAAUUUUAAAUUUGUAAUUUUAUUUUAUAUUUAAUUUUUUUGAGAUGCUACCCGCUUAAUUAUUUCUUUUUGUCUUAAACUUUGCUGGAAAUGUGAAUCAACUAGGUUUCGAACUUGAGACCUCGAGUACCAACAACCAAGCCCUUUGCCACUUGCGCUAGCGACUAUUAGUUAUGUAUAUUUUAAUUUUUUAUAUUUUAAGUCUUCUAUUUUAAAAUUUUAAAAUUUUAAUUUUAAAAUUUAAAUACUAAAUUUAAAUUUUUAAUUUUGAAAUAUGAAAUUUUAAGUUUCAAAAUUAAGAGUUUUAAAUUUGAAAUUUGAAAUUUAAAAUAAAUUUUAAAUUUUAAAUUUUAAAAAUUAUAUGUUUCGAAUUUUAAACUUUAAUUUUAAAAUUUUUAAUUCUAAAUAAAAAAGUAAUAUAUUAAUAAUUAUAUAUUAAUUAGUAAUGAUAUUUAGUAACAAGUGCUGCUAGUUUAUUAUAUUUAGCAGCAUUCACUAAUUUAUGCUGCUAAUUUAUCUUAUUUUGCAACAUUAAUAGCUAAAUAAUUAAAUCUAGCGGCAAUUAUCAUGUAAUGCUGCUAAAUAUAUUAAUUGACAUGAUUUAAAUAAAUAUUACGGAGCAAAAAUAUUGCGGGAUUUAGCAAUAAGUGUUGCUACUUUAUUACAUUUUGUGUCAUUUUUUAUAAAAUGCCGGAAACUUUGGCGGCAUUUACUAAUUUAUGCUGCUAAUUUAUUCUAUUUUGCAAUAUUAAUAGUAAAUUGCUGCUAAAUUAUUUAAUUUAGCGGCAUUUAUCAAGUAAUACCGUUAAAUAUAUUAAUUAGCGUUAUUUAAAUAAAUGCUGCGGAGUAAAUGCCGCUAAAUCAUAAAUUUGUAGUAGAGGCGAUUUGGAACGAGAGGGGCAAUGUGAUAUUUAGAGAUAGAAGUAUCAGGCUAUCAGCCCGAUACUUGUCCUACAGAGUAUUCGUCAUCUUUUGAUUUCGAGGAGGCGCACUGCCCCUAUGCCUCUUCUUGGGGCAAUCUUUUUUUUUUUUUUUUUUUUUUUUUUUUUUUUUUUCCGGAGCUUUAACUUGUCUCUAUCUGCUAAGUUUAUUUUCUCUAACGAAUAAAACAGAUAAUUUAUUAUCUAUCUUUUUUCUUAAAAGAAAACAAAUUGCAUUAGUUAGGGUGCAAAAUGAAGAAGAAGAAUGAAUCAAUCAUCCAAUACAUUGUAAAGUUGUUUACAGCAUAGCCAACAUGUUUAUAAUUAAUCGAACUUUACAUCAACUGUAUACAUAUUUAUUGAAUCAUUUGAUACAACAAAUUCGUUUGGAUGGAGAAUGAAGGUGACAAAUGAAUUAACUGUUCAAUUUAUUGACUAAAAAAGGAAAAAAGAAAAGAAAAGAAAAGAAGAACAAGCAAUACACAAGCUAUAUAUACGUGCAUUCAUGAAUCUCACGUCGAAGUAGUGACAUUAAUAAUGCUAAUGAACGAAGUAGGUGACGAGGAGAGCAACAAGCAUGAGAACAUAAGCAAUCCCUUGAUCGAUCGCGUUGCCGUCGAUCCGAUGUUUUUGUACCACCGCUGCCGCCGCAGCCUCCUCGUGGCCGUGCGCGAGCUGCGUGAACCCCGACAUGAACGCAACCGCGAUGAUGAACAGCGCGUACGCUCUCAUCGAACUCAUAUUCCAAUAUCUCUCAAGAAUUACUAAGGCNGCUUCCGCGUGGCCGUGCACGAAUUGCGUGAACCCCGACAUGAACGCAACCGCGAUGAUGAACAGCGCGUACGCUCUCAUCGAACUCAUAUUCCAAUAUCUCUCAAGAAUUACUAAGGCUUAUAAUGUUUGUAGCUAGCUCGGUGUGUGUGUGGUGGGAGUAGCAGUUGUUGUUGUGGUCCAGAGGGUUUGGUAUGUAGGGGUGUAUUUAUAGUUUUUGUGUGUGUGUGUGUGUGUGUGUGUGUGUGUGUGUGUGUGUGUGUGUGUGUGUGUGUGUGUGUGUGAGAGGAAGGGUGCUUUGGGAAUGGAGUGAGGGAUACGAAUUUGGAAGCCGGCCGUUGACCCGGAGAACGCGGAUGGCGGAAAAAAUUAGGGUUUCAAAGUAACGGUCAAAUGAGGGGUCAAAAGGGAGAGGAAAACAAAAAGAAGGUUCCUUGCCGUUGGAUCUCAUGAUCAGUGUUUUAUACGUGGGGUGAAUAUUAUUAAAUUUAAAAGUAUUUAACAUCGUUCUCUAUCAUGUUAAACUUUUAGUAAUAAAUAAUAGGGGCAAUUGCUUAUAUACUCCUGGAAAGUUUUCGACUUUUUGAUUUACCUUUCUUAGAAGGUUAAUAUUGAAAAUACCCUUUUUGCGUUCCAAUCUAUUUCUAAUAUACCCUAGAGUUAAAAUCUGUUAAUGAACUCCGUCAUUUCUGUGAAAUUACUAUUUUACCAUUUCAAAUAUACCCUUCUACCAUCACCGACUUUUCUUAUAUAUUUGCCCUUAAGUUAGGGGCACAAAAAGUAUUUUGCUUUUUGAUCUUUUCAAAUAUACUCUUCUACCAUCACCAACGUUUCUUAUUUGUCCUUAAGUUAAGGGUAAAAAUGGUAUUUUAUUUUUUUUAAACUGUGGUAGAUAUUUAACUCACGUUUAACCUAAGUUAACUUAACGGGUAGUAACUGCAGGAAUACUUUGAAAUAACGGAGGAACAUAUGAUAUUGGAAAGAAAAAAAAAAGGGAUAAAUGAGACAUUUUCGAAGUUUUAAGAGGUAUAUAGGUAAUUAUCCCUAAAUAAUAAUUAUUUCAUAUUAUUUAACAAAUAUGAGCCGUAGAUAAACCUGCAAUCCUCUCGGCUACUUACAAUCCGGCCGUUGGAUGCCAUGAACACCUGCUAUACCAUGUUUUUUAGGUGUAAUUAUAAGAACCUUGCAGCUUUUCUCGUGGGUCUAAUUUUUUUUUUUUUUUUUGAGAGAUAGGUAGCACGCUACCUACUUCGUUUAUUUUAUUUUAGAAAUAAAUUUAGCUGAAAAUAUGAAUCAUGCAACUCGGAUACGAAGUUGGGACCUCGUGUCCUUGCUAUUAACACUGCCAUCAAAAGUUAACAGAAUCUCCAAAUUAUUAAGUCUAUUUGAUACAAGGCUAAAGUAUAGCGUUGACAUCAUUUAAAUUUUUCUCUAUUUAGGGGGUAAAUUGAGACAAAAGGUAAAGUCGAGGGAGAGUUUUAUACUUGAAUCUUAUUUCCCAUAGAGAAAAUAUUCUGUCCAACAUCAUUUUAUUAUGAUACGCACAUUUGAAAACAACACACACGCCUCUUUUAUAUCGAUCUUAAUUAGGAAAAUACUACCUGUGAACUUGUAUAUAUAGAGAUCUAAAUCUUGCCCCUCCUGUAUCUAUCCUAAGAUUCAGAAAGCUUUUUGUUACGACAAACGUAUAAAUUGAAACGAAAAAUGACGAACACAAAAUAAACAAAGUACAAACAGAAAUAAAAGAAACACACAAAUUUACGUGGAAAAUCCUUUGUAGGAAAAAACCAAAGACGAGGAAGGAGAAAACUUCACUAUCGAAAUACAAUGUUCGAGUACAACCAACCACGAUCUGUCGCCUCUAGGGUAAAAAUGAAAAGGAAACUCUUAACGGUUUCGGAUCCGAUCCGUACCGAAAAGGAAACUCUUAACGGGCUCGGGCCGACACCGCUAUCCACCACAGACAUUCAUUUUUCCUUCACAAUUUGAUUUUUCAAAUUGGUCGCACUACGAAACUAUCGACGAGUCGAAAUUCCGAACUGAAGUCGAUUAUCAAUUUCGAGUCACAUCUAACACUCUUUUUAGUUUUAGUAUAUAAAAAAGCUAAUAAGAAUAGUGGACGACGGCCAACCAAUGCUACAGUUAAAUCUUUGUAUAAUUUUAUUACGGAUGGAGGACUGGGAGAUCCCUUAACCUCACAAAUCUGGAGAUCGAAAUAUGCUGGAAUGGUAAAAAUGAAAGUCUGUAUAUGGCUACUACUGAGAAAUAGAAUUGUUACUUUAGUCAAUCUUCAAAAGUGUGGUUAAUUGGCUCAAAAAGCAGUGCCAAUAAUCUUGAAACUUGUGAUUACCUUUUGUUUAAUUGCAUAUACUUUUUGUAUGAUCGUUGGCGCCAACUCAGCCUUCCGUCACUUUGAAUAUAGUUCGGCCCAAUCCGGCCUUAUAACAAGCUAACUUAGUCUCGUCCAACAAGGCAAGAUGCUAGUCCUUCAAAGCAUGCGAAAAUCAACUCCUUGACCUAUGACUCUAAUAGGUACCACUAGUGGGAUUGUUUGUGCUAACCAUUAAUUCUAAAAACUCGACCUAUUAUGUAGUGUUCCAAGAAAUUUAACUACCGAAACGAUUACAGUUUCGACGGCUCGUCGACAUUUCUCAUGAAUGUUAGGAUGAGUUAGAAAUGUUUGGACGUGAAAUUGACGUCACAAACAAAGUGAAAUAGAAAUUAUAGCUUUGUUACUCUCUAAUAAUUGUUCUCGUACUGUUUAUAGGUACUUCUAGUUGAUUCGUCAAGGCUUCUUAUGUAUGCAGAGAAUUUGUUGGUGAGCCUGGAUGAAGUUGGAACCCGGGGGUGUGACAUAUUAGAAGGAUACAACGAAUUCAAUUAAGACACGCAAACACAACGUCCAUAGGUCUCGAUUGUGACUUGAUCUUACUUGGCCUCUUGUCACUUCGAACAUGACUUAGGCUAGCCAGGCCUCUUGUCAUUUCCAAAGUAACUCGGCCCAACCUCAUAUUUUAUUGAUACAUACAUAAGAUGCUGGUCCCUUUAGGCUUCACUUUUGACACCUAAUCGUUUGCUCCGAUGAACCACCCCUUAGCACUCAUCUCAUAGAGGGCGUUAGAGGAAUAUGAGCGGAGAAGCUCACAUUUUUUUUUUUUUUGAGGAAAAGGUAGCAUAUUAUUUGCUUCAUUUAUUAGAAGAAUGAACUAGACUUUAGGGGUGACGUAAUAAACCUCGGUUGAAAAAAAAAAAACAUCAUUUCCACAGGGACAGGUUUAGAGUUUAUUGUUUAGAUUAGGAAGUAACUACUUAGCUACUUAAUCGGGAGGAUUUCCUCCCAUAAGACAUCAAGUAUCUGAUCUUAUUGACCGCUGACAGAGGGUCCGCAUUAGUCUUGCUAAAAGUCACACAAUUUCUGACAUUCCAGAUGACCCACCAGCAGGCUAUCAGUUCAGUCAGUCUAGUAUGAGUUGGUUGUGGAGAAGUUCACACUUAGAUAUAAUUACAACUAGAGGCUAAGAGGCCUUACGCUACUAUCAUCUAUGUGGUGGGUGAUUGGGAACAAGAAGGGCUAUGUGAUAUUCAGAGAUAGAAGUACAAGCCCAACUCUUGUCCGAGAGAGUAUUCCUCAUCUUUGAUUUCGUGGGAGGUGCACCGCCACUAAGCCUCUUGAGGCAAAUUUUUUUUUUUCUGACUUUUGUUUUUUUUUUUGUCUUUUUCUAGUGGACUAGAUUGUCUUCACUAACGCAGCUAAGUUUAUUUUCUCAAUGAAUAAAGCACAUAACUUAUUAUUUAUUUUUUUAAAAAAUNUUUUUUUUUUUUUUUUUUUUUUUUUUUUUUUUUUCUAGUGGACUAGAUUGUCUUCACUAACGCAGCUAAGUUUAUUUUCUCAAUGAAUAAAGCACAUAACUUAUUAUUUAUUUUUUUAAAAAAUAAAAACAAAUUGCAUUGGUUGGAGUGCAAAGAGAAGAAGAUGAAUGAAUCAACCAUCCAAUACUUUGCCUAAAAGGGAGUGAAAACAAAUUAUUUAAUAGCUUACAGUAUAACCAACAUGUUUAUUAAUCAAACUUAAUUUACAUCAACUGUGUACAUAUUUAUUGAAUCAUUGAUACAACAAAUUCGUUUGGAUAGAGAAUGAAGGAGAUGGAUGAAUUAUCUGCUCAAUUCAUUGACUAAAAUAGUAAAAAAAAUAAAAAAGAACAAGCAAUGCACAACCUAUAUAUACGUGCAUGCAUGAAUCUCACGUCCAAGUAGUGAUAUUAACAAUACUAAUGAACGAAGUAGGUGACGAGGAGAGCAACAAGCAUGAGAACAUAAGCAAUCCCUUGAUCGAUCGCGUUGCCGUUGAUCCAAUGUUUUGGUAGCGCCGCCGCCGCCGCAGCCUCUGCGUGGCCAUGCGCGAGCUGUGUGAACCCCGACAUGAACGCAACCGCGAUGAUGAACAGCGCGUACGCUCUCAUUGAACUCAUAUUCCAAUAUCUCUCAAGAAUUACUAAAGUUUAAUUAUAUAUAGUUUUGAAGCUCAGCGAGAGGAUUAAUGGAGAGGGAGGAGUAGUAGUUGUUGUUGUGGUGGUGGUGGAGAGGGGUUGGUACGUAGAGGGUGUAUUUAUAGUAAUGUAUUUUGUUUUGUUUUCUUAUUUAUUUUUAUGGGUUUUUUUUUGAAAAAAAAUAAAUUAAGGAAUGUGUUUGGGAUUGGAGUGAGGGAUACGAAGUGGAAGCCGGCCGUUGACUGGAGGAAUUAACGCGGACGGCAGGAAGCGCGGGAGAAAGUGGGGGCGGGCAGUCCUAGGAAUGCGAAUGCGGCGAAGCCAGAAUUUAAAAUUUAGAAAAUCAUAAUUUAAAUUGGGUAAAUUUUAAAUAUUACUUAUGUGGUAUUGUAUUUUCUCACUUUACUAUCCUAUGAUUUAAAGUGUAUCAAUUUGGUAUCCUGUGGUUUUAUUUUUCUCUUUUCGUCAGCCCCUCCGUUAACUUUUCGUUAAAUUAUAUAUAAAAAAUUUCAGAUAUUAAUUUCACCUAUAAUUUAUCGAAUAUUCACUUUAGUGCCCUUUAGUUUUAACUUUGUCAUUGAUUUAAUGAAAGAAAUUUAGUAUAGGGGAUAACAAAAAGAAAAAAAAUAAAACCAUAGGAUACGAAAUUGAUACACUUUAAACCACAGAGUACUAAAGUGAGAAAAUACGAAACCACAGAGAUGAUAUUUAAUGUUUUUCUAUUUAAAUUUAAUAGAAAAAAAUUUGAUCUCAGAUAAUAAGCAAAAGCGUCGACAAUGUGCUCAAAGAGAGGAGUAGGGCUAGAGGUGGUGAAGGGAAUGGGCCGAAGACUGAGGGGUCCAAACGAAAAAUUUGGAGCACAAGUGUCACGCCCCGGGUUAAACAUUCCCCGGGCACGCCGACAAAUCCGCCGUAUACAAAGAAAUUUUUCCUGUAUACGAAGCGAUAGCUGUACCUGUAAAUCAAACACUACUACGAACAGUAGUAGAGAGCUGCUAGAGAAAACAAAGUUUCAUAUACAUAGUUCAGAUCCAAAANGUUGCACGGAGUCCGUUUUGCGCCUAUUUGACGCCAACGCGACUCGGACUUGUCCCGACACUCUCCAGAGCUGUCGACAAGCCUCCACAGUCAAACACCAGGGAUCUCACAACAAGAUUGUAAAAGAAAAUUUUCAAGUUGGCCCCUUAAAACUAAAAUUUAUGGUGUAUGAAUAUGCAGAUGAAUUAGGUGCAUGCAAUAAUUUUUACUUUGAAACAGUAUCAACAUGAAAUAAUUAUAUUGAAGGUAUAGGGACUAAAUCAAAAUUUUGUUGAAGGUUCAGCUAGGGUAGGAAACAUUGAAAUUAAAAGUUUGAUGAUCAAAAUGAAAUAUGAUUUGAAGUUUAGGGACUACUAAUUACCAACCGUUCCUACAGCAAGUGGCAAAAAGUUUGGUGAUUGGUACCUGAGUCUCAAGUUCGAAUUCUAGUUGAUUCAUAUUUCUAGCUAAAUUUAUUUUUAAAUGAAAUAAACGAAACGGGUAGCGUGCUACCGAUCUCUCAAAAAAAAAUAAAAUAAAAUAUACUUCUGUUAUUUGGUACGUUGCGCUAUAAAUUACAAAUGCUCGUAACUCUAGUUUUCCGAAACAGCAUAAUUGGCUUCACCUUGAAUAGUAACAAAGCCAAUUAGGGGAGAGAGAAACAGAAAAAAUAAUAAAAAAUUAACUACAUAUUGUAUCUUUUUUUCUUCAUUUCAUGUGCUAGUGUGGAAAUUUUUGGUAAAAAAAUUUCCAAAAAAGCUAUAACUCCAAAGUUAUUCGUUUUUUAUCACAAAUUAACAACAGUAAAACAUAAUUUUUAUCCGAAUUUGAGUUAAUUUUUUUUAACUUGAAAAUGAAUUACAUGCAAACAAAUAGGAUAAAACUAAGGAAAGUUUUUAUGUACUGCUAAUACAAUUGAGAAAAACUCAAUUAUUUCUUAUUGCAGUUCUGGGUAGAUGAACCUCUUUUGUGGCUGAUGGGCCAGGGGUGUUUAUUUUUAAAAUCAUUAUUUAUCAUUAGUAAUCAUACAUUUUAGGGUAAAUUGCAUGUUUAUUCUCAAACUACGAGGCACGCGACACUUUGAUUCUCAAAUUUUAAUUUAUUAUAUAAUUUCUGACUCGAAUUUUUAAAAUUAUUACAAUUUAGUCUCACAACCUAAUUUAGUUAACUAAUUAAAUAUUGACGGAUCUAUGAUAUAAAAAAUUUAUGUAAUAUUGUAAUUAUUAGAGUACAAUCAAUCACAAUAUUAUAACAUCACUUAUAUAUAUAUCAAUUGUUUGUCAAUAUUUAAUCAACUAAAUUAACUAGGUUAUAGGACUUAAUUGCGUCAUUUCUGAUAGUUUGAGCCAAAAUUAUAACAAACUAAAGUUUAAGGACCAAAAUGUCACCCCCGCCCCAUAGUUUGAAGGGCCAAAUGCGCAAUUUACCCUAUAUUUUGCAAGAACCCAAAGCAAAUCUAAGCAUAGCUACACAUCCCAAAUCUGCAUGAGCCCCCCUGCUUGCACUUGUUCUUGCAACAUCCACAGUUCAAGGGAUCAGACAUUACAUUCAGACAGCGACCGCCGCAGCAAGUCUCUCCGUAACUGCAUCUCCGACCGCACUGCCCGCAGUUCAGCAAGUUGGUAUCCACAUUUACGCACCGCCCCGAGCAGCAGUCCGGGCCAGGACUGCUCGGCCCACGACACACUCUGGGAAAGACAUUGCAUGAUAGUGGACCUCGCAGAUUCAUAGAUUUUAUUGACGAAUUUUGAUUGCGAGUAAGAUCAUUCGCAAUUAAUGGAGAUCUGUUUGUUUGGUGUGGCUCGUCUUUAAACUUGUUGUUGUCAUCGUUGCAAAGAGCGGUGGCUAAAACGAUAAAAAGUAAUGCUAAGAUGAGGAUUAGCUUCAUAAUGUUGUACUACAAAAUAUAUAGAAAAGGUUGAUGAGGAGGGAGAGAUGUUGAGUUUGAGUAUUUAUAGAGGGGGGAGUUAAGAGUUGGUUCAAGUAAUGUAUUAAGUUAGGCCUCUCAAUGGAAAGCUCAAAAUGGUAUAUAUGAGAAGUAUAUUUAUCCAUGGAUUGGGAAGAUGUGCAACAUCUCUCAUGCAUGAUAUUCUUUACGUGUUAAUGCAACAUUAACUAAAAUGAAGAGUUAUGAUCACAAUUUUUACAGCUAAGAGGUACACUAAUGUCUUAUCUGAUUUGCAUAAUAAUUUUCAAAGUAAUUCUAAAUUGGUGCAACAAUUAAUUAAAGAUUCUAUUCUAAGAUGGAUCUAUGCUCUAGUGCAUUCAUUUACAUUCGCGGACCUUACAUGUGAGUGUAGUGAAGGAUGUAUGAACAAAUUAAAUUUAAAGGCUCAAUAUCCAUCACCUAUCACUUAUUAAAUGAAAAAAGAAAAAAAGAUUAUAACAAUGGCACUGCAUGUGGGGACUUGUUAAUGUAGAGCUAGUAGCCGGCAGUUUAGGUUUUGAUUAGACUUAGACAUUGAGUAUGGUGAGCUAUUAAAAUCUAACUAAAAACUGUACUGUUAUAUUCUAAGGCCCCAUUUGGUUCGGGGUAUAAACGGGGAUAACGAAAGUUAUUCCCUCUAUUCUGCUAAAUGGGAUGAUGUUUUAUCGGAAUAUUUUAUUCUGCUAUUCUGCCAAACGGGGAUAACGAAAGAUUCAAAUUUAACUUUUAAGAGAAGUUAGAAUUAAGAUAUCAACACAUACAACCGAUAAUAAAAAAUAAUAUUAUUAAGAGAAAUUAGAAUUAGGGUUCUAGGAAUGGGUAAAAUAAAAUGGGUAUUCAUGCACUAUUUUUAUUUUAAAAUUUUUUUAAAGAAAUUAUAUAUGUGCCUACCCGUAGGUACCUGUGGAUUGCUCAAAAUAUUCAUAAUUUAAUAAAUAUCCAACCCAUUUUAUUCAUAAUUUUUUUGAUAAUAAAAAUUAGUAUCAAUACCAGCCUGCUGUAUUGCCACACAACACCCACUCAAAUAUUUUUGAAUGAUUCACUGUUCUAUUUUCCAUUCAAAUACAAUUCAAUUUUAUUUUUUAUUUUUAUUCCAAACAUGAACUAAAUAUGCCGUAAUAGCUAGCUCAUCAGCAACUUUAUUUUCUUUUGCACCUUCUAGAAAUAUUUUUUUUUCUUUAAUUUAAUUAUCCACAUGAUUUUUCAUACUACCAAGUUAUGAUUGAUUAAGAACACUCUUUCAAUAUAGAAGGCAAUUUAAAAUCUUAUAUAAAUAUUAGAUUUAUUGUUAUAGUUGAGAAGCAAAUGAUGAUUGGAAAAAGCUUAUUCUUAGAUAAAAAUAUUUGUAAGUUUCAUACUAAUCUAAAAUUUACACUAUUGCAAUUAUAUUCAUUGGAUAUCUCUCAUAUAUAAUUUUCAUAGCCUAGAGAACUGAUUUAUGUAAUUAAGAAUCAUCUAAUUAUACAAAUAAUAUGAAUCCUAAUAAUUUAUAGAUGUAAAAAUUAUAAAAAUAUGAUAAGUUAAACUUGUGGCUAAGAUUCGAAGACGUAAUGAAAAAGAUACUAAGAAUUUAAAUUAAUCGCGAAUUGCUUGUGCAUGAAUGCAUAUAUCUCACAAUUACAAAAAUUUCUCAUGGAAAAAAUCAACUAAGAUACAAGUAAUACUAAUUCAACUACUUAUAUUUUAUAUAUAUGCAUAUUAUACUCAUGCAUUGUAAACUAAUUCAUUUCGUUUAUGUUGCUCAAACCAUUUUAUACUAGCUACGAGUCUAAUCACAAAUAAAAAUGAGGUAAACCACAUGGGGCAAUCUAAAUUUUUUAGAAAUUAUGCGGACAAAAAUUUAAAAUUUAAAAUUUAAAUAAUAUUUGAAUAAUAUUUUAUAAAUUUGAAAAAUAUUUCUAUUAAAAUUUGAAGUUUAAAAUUAUUUUUUAAAAUAAUUAAAUUAUUGUAUGGAAAGGGAGCUCAGCUGUGUUGAGCUGCGUUGAGCUUGGCGGGCAUGGCCAUGCGGGGUCGUGCCAUGCUGGGCCGGGCCGGGCCGAUGCCUAGGCCCGGUCCGAGCCCGACAUGAUCGGUCUUGGGCCGUGCCGGGCCGAUAGGCUAAAAAUGGUUGGCCCAACACGGCCCAGCAUUUCGGAUCGGAUAGGUCUGACACGGAUUCUACAGUACCCGUGCCGUGCCUAGUGACGACCUAGAGCUGUACCGAGCCGGACGUCCCGAUUUUACAUCCCUUACUCCCUCAAAUUCUAAUUUUUUUUUAUUUUUCUGUGUGUGGAAUUAAUAGACUUUCAUUGAAAAAUAUUGAAAGAGUUUUCGAAUUUAAUGAUAAUUUUACUAAAUUAUAUGACUUUAAUAAUUUUGGGUACUGAAGGAUAAAUUUAAAAUUUUUGAAUAAUAGCCAGGAGUAUAUAAGCAGAAACUCCUAUUUUCUACAUAAAUAAAAUAGAAAAAUAAUUAAAUAUUCCUGACGUAACGUCAACAUCACUGUUAAGUCCCCUGGUUGAACUAGUGAUUCUUAAUACAGUAAUAUUUUCCAGAUUGUUGUUUGGCCAGAUUUUUUUUUAAAUAGAUUACUUUUUUACUACAUCAAUGAACAAAUCACAAAUUCAACAUAAGCAGAACACUCUAUUGUACUAUAUAUAUAUAUACUGAUAUCCGACUUUCUUGUUUCAAGCUUCAAAUAAAGUAACUUUUGAAACUCACAUAAAUUGAACUGAAACAACAAGCGGAAACGAAUCAAACUUACAUUUUUAGAUCGUUAUUUGACCAACAUUUUAAAACAUUGCGUUUUACUACAUUAAUGAACAAACCACAGAUUCAACACAAGUAGGACGCUCUAUUAUACGAUACUGAUAUCGUACUUCUUUAUUUCCAGCUUCAAAAAAAGUAACGGUCGAAACUAAGUAGAACCGAAACAACAAGCGGAAAUGAAUCAGAUAUAUGGGUAGAGAGGAGCUGUGGCAAUACCACAUAAUCCUUCUUUUGCAGCGACAUCUUUUGCUAUUCGCAUGUAUCCACUUUCGCCCCAUUUGGGGCCGGCUGAGUUCUUCAGUAUCCAAUACUUUUUCCCCGAUUCCUCACCGUAGCCAACUACGGCGACAGUGUGAGUGACAUCGGGCGAACAAUCUUCAUCAAAAAUACCACCUUUGUAAUGUUGCCAAGUUGUGGCGUUAACUGCGACCGUCACCGGUUGGUCAUUCACAGCUUUCAUAAGCUCAGCUUCGUUGUUUCUCGUAACCAACCUGUAGCCAGUAAUGUAAGCUGCAUGAUCUGAUUCCUUGGUUUUGUCACACACCCCUUUAGAUGCCUUGUAAGGGUAGUUAGCCUCGGUCGUCAAGCCUUUAUUUGCGAUGAUAUAAAGGAAAGCUUUUAAUCGGCUACCGCCCGAGCAGUCACCACCGUUGGAACAAUCGAGAACUUGCUGUACUGAAAGAGAUUUUAGUUCGCCUUUCUUGAUCUUGUAGAUGCUCUCAACUGUCGCUACCACAGCGAAUGCCCAGCAGCAAGCUAGUUUUGUAUUAAGUGACACAUUCAUUAGAAUAUAUCAUAGAUGUAAGUAAGGUUUUAAGUGUUCGUCGGCACGGCUGCAUCCCCGUGCCGUACCGUUCUAACAAGAUACCGGCACAAUACAGACUCCGUGCCGAUGGCACAGCUUAAAACCCUCUAUUUUUUAAAUUAGUAAAUAAUUUUUUCAACAAAGUUCAAAAGAUGUGAUAAAAAGACAUAAUAAAUAGUUAGAAUAUUUUGUUGCUAAAGAAAAUAAAUAUUUCAUGCUAUUAUGUGUCGGCACAUAAGAAUUUUUUUGACCGGCACGCAUCAACACGUCUCGGCACGCACCGUGUUGGUAAGUUUUCAGUAUGACUCCGUGCCACGACACUUAAAUCUUUGAAUGUAAGAGAAAGUUAACAUACUUAAUUAGUUAAUAUUGGUCGAUUCAGUAUGUUUUUACCAAAAGAUUUUAUUAUACUACAGGUGAAAAUUCUUACCGCAGUCUCCUUGGUCCUUGACUUCAGUUACGGCACCUUCGGUCCUCCAAUCAACGGUGGCUCUCAAGGCCAUGUUUUUGGUAUGACCCCGUGUCACAACACUUAAAUCUUUGAAUGUAAGAGAAAGUUAGCAUGCUUAAUUAGUUAAUAUUGGUCAAUUCAGUAUAUUUUUACCAAAAGAUUUUAUUAUACUACAGGUGAAAAUUCUUAAGUUACAGCACCUUGGGUCCUCCAAUCAACGGUGGCUCUCAAGCGGGUGUUUUCGUACUCGGCUUCCACUAGAACGGUCUCUAUAUCUGUUGGGAUGUCCUGCUCUGCAGUUCCUACAACGUACGUAUUUGCAUACUCCUCGUUUGUCAUAUCGCUAAACCGGUUAACUCCGAGGGUGUACGAGCGCCCGCCGACUUUGUUGAAUUCUUCAAUGUACUUCACGUUGUUCUUAAAGAUCUCGUACCGUUGCUGCUUCUCCUUCGCAUUCGCGUACGUUCGACCGUGUUCGGACAUCCAAUCUUCGAACAUCGUCAUCGUCGGCCCGUCCAUUCUAGUGUUCCAAGAGCUGAACAACAAAGAGAAACACAACAAGACAAGAGAUGAGCCGAUAAUUAAGCAAAGAUUGGAAUGUGAAAGCCAUAGCUACAAUGUAUACUAUACUUAGAAGUUGGAGCUUGCGUUUGUGAGGUUAAACUCUUAAGAUUAGGCUCGUAUAUAUAGAGAUUUGGCGAAGACAAUGUGAGGGGGAAGGCAAUGUCAUCGUAUAUAUCCUCCUCUGUGGAAAAUCAUAUUUUAAUUUGUACUCCACAAUGAGUAGGUACGACUAGGUUAUACAAAUUAAGUCGACUUUCAAUAUUGUGUGAUGUUAGUCAUAGGAUUACCGUGUGCCCCUCUUUUGGUUUUUCCCAAAUUAUAUAUAUAUAUAUAUAUAUAUAUAUAUAUAUAUAUAUAUAGUUGAGCUAGAAUAUUCUCAAAAAUACUAUUACGGUGGUGCUUUUGAGUUUUUAGCCAUUGGAUGGAGAGAUGUGAGGUUGAGAUGAUGGUGGUUGGUGAUGGUAGCUGGAAUAGUGUUUAAUCCAUGGACUAUUAGUAAUCAAGGAGUAGAUCCAAUGGCUAAAAACCUAGUAGUAUUAUGGGUGAUAUUCUAGCUCAAUUUUANAGUGAGGCUACUAUGCUAUCCGAAGCACGGAGCCUUCCGUGCUUCCAGCUCGUUUUCGAUGUUGCGACUUUCGAAUCGUCGAUCGACUUCGUUAAACUUGAUCUAGAGUUUUUGAAGUAUCUAGAAAAUAAAUUUUAUGAUUUUACGAUAUCAUUUGCCUAGUGAACGAAGGGGCUCAAAAUCAACGGCUGAAAAUAAAAAUCUUACAAAAUGUAAUAAUAUGACAUUAAAAUUUUAAAUCAAAUAUAUUAAUCUUGUUUUAUAUAGUAUAAAGAAUUUUCUAUUAAAAUUUCACGUGAUUUGGAUAUUUCUACACCGUUAAACUUGCAAACGGCUCACAACGGCCAUUGAAAUUUGUUGAUUUUGAGCCCAUUUGGUCACUAGGCAAAUGAUAUCAAAAAAUAAUAAAAUUUAUUUUCUAGGUACUCCAAAUACUCUAGAUCAAGUUUAACGGAGCUGAUCGACGAUUCGAAAGUCGCAACAUCGAAAACGAGCUGGAAGCACGGAAGGCUUCGUGCUUCCGAUAGCAUAGUAGCCUCACUCAUAUAUAUAUAUAUAUAUAGAAUUAGGCUGGAAUACUAUUAAUAGUAAAAUGAUCUUUUUGCUAUCAAGUUUUUAACCCUUGGAUGAAAAAUUGUAGGGUUAGGAUGAUAUUAGUCGGUUGUAGUAUUUAAUCCAAUGGUUAGAAAUAAUGAAAAGAUAUGAUCCAAAGGCUAAAAAACUGGUAGCAA
This 16501-nucleotide long non-coding RNA is filed under the name Ananas comosus (pineapple). RNAcentral describes it as "long non-coding RNA (ACOM_LNC017378)". Lineage: Eukaryota; Viridiplantae; Streptophyta; Magnoliopsida; Poales; Bromeliaceae. The record is from RNAcentral.